CUCUCUUUCAAACACUAAAAAAACUUUUUAAAAGGCAUUUUCAUAAAGUACAAGUCCCUAUCAUCCUUUAAAACACCCUACUCGACAUCAUUAUGCUACUCUAGCUACUAUCACACCUCCCAUCCAAACUCAUUAUAUAAAGCUAGUACUUUAUGCUACAUAUAUCCGCUUUCAAUUUUGCUAUAAUAUGGUAUCUGGCCCUACCCUCCACUGGUAGACUUUUUGCUCUUUCAACAAUCACCUUCUGACCAAACCUAAUGGUCACUCAUGUCUUUCUCUUCCUUGCUACCAUUGCAUCUAAUUCACAUGUCUACUGUAGCACUUAUUACAUACCUGGGUUUCAUUAUUCAUCUUUGUAUCCCAGUACUAAUCACAGUUACAGUACUAAUUGUACACGGUAGAUGGUAAAUAUUUGUAAACUCGACAACUGUUAAUUGCACACUAUGUAUCAGGCACUAUGCAAAGUGCUGGGGACACAGAAAAAACAGCCCCAACCUCAAGUUCACAGUGCCAGCAUUCAAUCUAUGUUUACAACAAUGUCUGAACCAUGCCCAUUUUUACAGAUGAGGAGAGAGGUAAAGUCUGGCCAGACAGAAGAGCCAGCUAGCCACUGAGCUGGGGAACUCAAAUCUAGGCUAAACGUUGGUUGGAUCAGUAGUCACAGGGCUCGCUCUUUUUUUCUUUUUGGCGCUCCAUGGCCCUCCAGAUGGUGAUUCGAGUGACGAAGUCUCUCAAACUCUUAGGGGCAGAAUUGAACCCGAACCUGCUUCACAGACCGGAGCCCGAGCCGAGCCAAGGACGCCGCCAUGGUGACCUCCGCACCGGAAGGCCUCGUGCGGGCGGAAGUGUCCGUUACCGCCGCUCUCCCCUCCCUGCCCCCGGCUUCUUCAGGGUGCGGGUCUCUGAUUCUCCAGUAGCUAGCGUUCCGGGUGCUUGGGGCCCUGGACUCCCCACCCCGAGAGGAGGAAGGCCAGCGGGGAGGUGGUUUCGAUACAGGGUAUGGAGGGCCCCAAAGUAAGCGGUCAGUAAAUACCUAUCAUUAAUAGUCCUCUUGUACCACGGCGAAAACAAUAAAUAAUGCAAAAGCCUUGCACUUGGCUGCGAUAA
Acinonyx jubatus (cheetah) is the source of this 1107-nucleotide long non-coding RNA. RefSeq lists it as uncharacterized. The transcript has 3 exons. The record is from RefSeq and is a predicted model, not a curated record. NCBI's taxonomy places the organism in Eukaryota, Metazoa, Chordata, Mammalia, Carnivora, Felidae.